AUUGAACGCUGGCGGCAUGCCUUACACAUGCAAGUCGAACGGUAACAGGUCUUCGGAUGCUGACGAGUGGCGAACGGGUGAGUAAUACAUCGGAACGUGCCUAGUAGUGGGGGAUAACUACUCGAAAGAGUGGCUAAUACCGCAUGAGAUCUACGGAUGAAAGCAGGGGAUCGCAAGACCUUGUGCUACUAGAGCGGCCGAUGGCAGGUUAGGUAGUUGGUGGGAUAAAAGCUUACCAAGCCGACGAUCUGUAGCUGGUCUGAGAGGACGAUCAGCCACAAUGGGAAUGAGACACGGCCCAGACUCAUGCGGGAAGCAGCAGUGGGGAAUUUUGGACAAUGGGCGCAAGCCUGGUCCAGCAAUGCCGCGUGCAGGAUGAAGGCCGUCGGGUUGUAAACUGCUUUUGUACGGAACGAAAAGCCCCGGGUUAAUACCCUGGGGUCGUGACGGUACCGUAAGAAUAAGCACCAGCUAACUACGUGCCAGCCGCCGCCGUAA
RNAcentral lists this ribosomal RNA (498 nucleotides) under uncultured bacterium. RNAcentral's name for it is "partial 16S ribosomal RNA". It matches the Rfam family "Bacterial small subunit ribosomal RNA", at positions 30 to 523 of the family's 1533-position model. The record is from RNAcentral.